RNAcentral lists this unclassified non-coding RNA (27 nucleotides) under Pseudolactococcus piscium. RNAcentral describes it as "Lactococcus piscium ctRNA_pT181". The record is from RNAcentral. Lineage: Bacteria; Bacillati; Bacillota; Bacilli; Lactobacillales; Streptococcaceae.
UGUCUUUAAGAUGCUUAUUAAUAUAAU